ACCUUCGGCUGAGUUAGUGAUCGGCUGGAGUUUAAUUUAGAUUAUUUUGGAGAAACUCAUGUCACUAAGUACUGAACAAAAAGCAGAAAUUCUGGCGAAAUUUGGCCGUGGCGAA
Shewanella sp. is the source of this 115-nucleotide regulatory RNA element. It matches the Rfam family "Ribosomal S15 leader". From Rfam's summary of the family: The E. coli Ribosomal S15 gene 5' UTR can form two alternative structures. One that is a series of three hairpins, The other includes a pseudoknot. This structure causes translational regulation of the S15 protein. The record is from Rfam. NCBI's taxonomy places the organism in Bacteria, Pseudomonadati, Pseudomonadota, Gammaproteobacteria, Alteromonadales, Shewanellaceae.